RNAcentral lists this transfer RNA (67 nucleotides) under Umbonium thomasi. RNAcentral's name for it is "tRNA-Ile". The record is from RNAcentral. Lineage: Eukaryota; Metazoa; Mollusca; Gastropoda; Trochida; Trochidae.
GGUGAUGUGCCGGAUAAAACGGAAUGCGAUGAUGAUGCAGAAUAUAAGAGACUUCUCUUCUUCACUU